Molecule: ribosomal RNA, 1133 nt
Filed under: uncultured bacterium
Lineage: Bacteria
Description: bacterial SSU rRNA
Rfam family: Bacterial small subunit ribosomal RNA
Source: RNAcentral
AAUGAACGCUGGCGGCNGGNGCUANCACAUGCAAGUCGAACGGAGUUAUAUUGUAGCUUGCUAUGGUAUUACUUAGUGGCAGACGGGUGAGUAAUGUAUAGGAAUCUACCUAGUAGUACGGAAUAAUUGUUGGAAACGGCAACUAAUACCGUAUACGCCCUACGGGGGAAAAAUUUAUUGCUAUUAGAUGAGCCUAUAUUAGAUUAGCUAGUUGGUGGAGUAAUAGCCUACCAAGGCAAUGAUCUAUAGCUGAUCUGAGAGGACGGUCCAGACUCCUACGGGAGGCAGCAGUGGGGAAUAUUGGACAAUGGGCGAAAGCCUGAUCCAGCCAUGCCGCAUGAGUGAAGAAGGCCUUUGGGUUGUAAAGCUCUUUUAGUGAGGAAGAUAAUGACGGUACUCACAGAAGAAGUCCUGGCUAACUCCGUGCCAGCAGCCGCGGUAAUACGGAGAGGGCUAGCGUUAUUCGGAAUUAUUGGGCGUAAAGGGCGCGUAGACGGAUUAGUACGUUAAAAGUGAAAUCCCAAGGCUCAACCUUGGAAUUGCUUUUAAAACUGCUAAUCUAGAGAUUGAAAGGGGAUAGAGGAAUUCCUAGUGUAGAGGUGAAAUUCGUAAAUAUUAGGAGGAACACCAGUGGCAAAGGCGUCUAUCUGGUUCAAAUCUGACGCUGAGGCGCGAAGGCGUGGGGAGCAAACAGGAUUAGAUACCCUGGUAGUCCACGCUGUAAACGAUGAAUGUUAAAUAUGGGAAGUUUUACUUUCUGUAUUACAGCUAACGCGUUAAACAUUCCGCCUGGGGACUACGGUCGCAAGAUUAAAACUCAAAGGAAUUGACGGGGACCCGCACAAGCGGUGGAGCAUGUGGUUUAAUUCGAUGCAACGCGAAAAACCUUACAACUCCUUGACAUGGAAAUUAUACCUAUUCGAAGGGAUAGGGUCGGUUCGGCCGGGUUUCACACAGGUGUUGCAUGGCUGUCGUCAGCUCGUGUCGUGAGAUAUUGGGKUWAGUCCCGCAACGAGCGCACCCUCAUCCUUAGUAACCAUCAGGUAAUGCUGGGGACUUUUAAGGAAACUGCCAGUGAUAACUGGAGGAGGUGGGAUGGAUGUCAAGUCAUCAUGGCCUUAUGGAGUGGCUAC